Molecule: non-coding RNA, 28 nt
Filed under: Mus musculus (house mouse)
Lineage: Eukaryota; Metazoa; Chordata; Mammalia; Rodentia; Muridae
Source: RNAcentral
UAGCCAUAGCGUCCUCAGACCACAUUUC